This 253-nucleotide ribosomal RNA is filed under the name uncultured bacterium. Its description in RNAcentral is "partial 16S ribosomal RNA". It matches the Rfam family "Bacterial small subunit ribosomal RNA", at positions 524 to 776 of the family's 1533-position model. The record is from RNAcentral.
UACGUAGGGGGCAAGCGUUGUCCGGAAUCAUUGGGCGUAAAGCGCGUGUAGGCGGCUCGAUAAGUCUGCUGUGAAAGUCCAGGGCUCAACCCUGGGAUGCCGGUGGAUACUGUCGAGCUCGAGUCCGGAAGAGGCGAGUGGAAUUCCUGGUGUAGCGGUGAAAUGCGCAGAUAUCAGGAGGAACACCAAUGGCGAAGGCAGCUCGCUGGGACGUGACUGACGCUGAGACGCGAAAGCUAGGGGAGCAAACAGG